AAUUAUCUAGCCAAGUUUAUAAUUUUCUUGAUUAGCGAGGUUCCUGUUGUUAACUUGAUGAGUAUUUAGCACUCCAUGGGGCAUUUAUUGUCAGUAUUUUAUGUUGCUUUUCUGUUUAUUUUUUGUUUCCUUAUCCUGCCACUUUUUGCAUUGACAUAAAGAGGUUAAAGAGGUUCUUGUUCACUUUUAGAGUGAGGGUCUAUGGUAGUUGUUUAGGGUUUAGUUGCUUUAGAUCUCAAGACAUCUAGCAAUGAACAAGGCAGAAUGGCCAAAAUGGAUUAAUCUAGCUGAUCCCAAGUUUACUGGGGAUAUGUCUUAGUUUCUGUUGUAGUUUUAUCUUGCUACUUUUUC
This 351-nucleotide long non-coding RNA is filed under the name Olea europaea (common olive). RNAcentral's name for it is "long non-coding RNA (OEUR_LNC003413)". The record is from RNAcentral. Lineage: Eukaryota; Viridiplantae; Streptophyta; Magnoliopsida; Lamiales; Oleaceae.